UACGGAGGGGGCCAGCGUUGUUCGGAAUCAUUGGGCGUAAAGGGCGCGUAGGCGGCGAGGCAAGUCGGGGGUGAAAUCCCUCAGCUCAACUGAGGAACUGCGCCCGAAACUACCUUGCUAGAGUGCAGGAGAGGAGAGUGGAACUCCUAGUGGAGCGGUGAAAUGCGUAGAGAUUAGGAGGAACGCCGGUGGCGAAAGCGACUCUCUGGCCUGUAACUGACGCUGAGGCGCGAAAGCUAGGGGAGCAAACGGG
Molecule: ribosomal RNA, 253 nt
Filed under: uncultured bacterium
Lineage: Bacteria
Description: partial 16S ribosomal RNA
Rfam family: Bacterial small subunit ribosomal RNA
Source: RNAcentral